Molecule: ribosomal RNA, 375 nt
Filed under: uncultured bacterium
Lineage: Bacteria
Description: bacterial SSU rRNA
Rfam family: Bacterial small subunit ribosomal RNA
Source: RNAcentral
AACGAACGCUGGCGGCAUGCCUAACACAUGCAAGUCGAACGAGACCUUCGGGUCUAGUGGCGCACGGGUGCGUAACGCGUGGGAAUCUACCCUUGGGUUCGGAAUAACUCAGAGAAAUUUGAGCUAAUACCGGAUGAUGUCGCAAGACCAAAGAUUUAUCGCCCAAGGAUGAGCCCGCGUAGGAUUAGCUUGUUGGUGAGGUAAAAAGCUCACCAAGGCGACGAUCCUUAGCUGGUCUGAGAGGAUGAUCAGCCACACUGGGACUGAGACACGGCCCAGACUCCUACGGGAGGCAGCAGUGGGGAAUAUUGGACAAUGGGCGAAAGCCUGAUCCAGCAAUGCCGCGUGAGUGAUGAAGGCCUUAGGGUUGUAAAG